GGACGACCUCAUCGCCCGCCAGCUCCGCGUCUCCCGCCAGGAGAAUCCCCACUGCUCCUCCGCCUCCUUCGACCGUGACGCCGCCAAUGCCUUCCAGGUCUACGUCAACGAAACCCUAGCGUUCUCCAUCAAGCGCGGCGGGUUCAUGUACGGCCGCGUCACUGAUGCGGCCACCGUUGCGGUCGACUUCAUCUACGAGCCGCCGCAGGCGGCCACUGAGGAUGAUCUCACCCUGCUCCGCGAUACUGAUGAGGAGGUGCUUGUUGAGGCAAUUGCCGCCGGACUUGGGAUGCGGCGGGUCGGGUUUGUGUUUAC
This 315-nucleotide unclassified non-coding RNA is filed under the name Hevea brasiliensis (rubber tree). Lineage: Eukaryota; Viridiplantae; Streptophyta; Magnoliopsida; Malpighiales; Euphorbiaceae. The record is from RNAcentral.